Molecule: ribosomal RNA, 454 nt
Filed under: uncultured bacterium
Lineage: Bacteria
Description: bacterial SSU rRNA
Rfam family: Bacterial small subunit ribosomal RNA
Source: RNAcentral
UACGGAAGGCAGCAGUGGGGAAUAUUGCACAAUGGGCGCAAGCCUGAUGCAGCCAUGCCGCGUGUAUGAAGAAGGCCUUCGGGUUGUAAAGUACUUUCAGUCGUGAGGAAGGUGUUAAGGUUAAUAACCUUAGCAAUUGACGUUAGCGACAGAAGAAGCACCGGCUAACUCCGUGCCAGCAGCCGCGGUAAUACGGAGGGUGCGAGCGUUAAUCGGAAUUACUGGGCGUAAAGGGCACGCAGGCGGUUAAUUAAGUUGGAUGUGAAAUCCCCGGGCUUAACCUGGGAAUGGCAUUCAAGACUGGUUAGCUAGAGUCUUGUAGAGGGGGUAGAAUUCCAUGUGUAGCGGUGAAAUGCGUAGAGAUGUGGAGGAAUACCGGUGGCGAAGGCGGCCCCUGGGACAAAGACUGACGCUCAUGUGCGAAAGCGUGGGGAGCAAAACAGGAUUAGAUACC